GUUAGGAAUCUUCCACAAUGGGGGCAACCCUGAUGGAGCAACACCGCGUGCUGGAUGAAGGCCUUCGGGUCGUAAACAGCUUUUGUAUACGAAGAAUAUGACGGUAAUAUACGAAUAAGGGUCGGCUAACUACGUGCCAGCAGCCGCGGUCAUACGUAGGACCCAAGCGUUAUCCGGAGUGACUGGGCGUAAAGAGUUGCGUAGGCGGCUUAUUAAGCGAGUAGUGAAAUCUGGUGGCUCAACCAUCAACACAUUGCUCGAACUGAUAGGCUUGAGAAUGGUAGAGGUAGUUAGAAUUUCUUGUGUAGGAGUGAAAUCCGUAGAUAUAAGAAGGAACACCAAUGGCGUAGGCAGACUACUGGACCAUUUCUGACGCUGAGGCACGAAAGCGUGGGGAGCGAACCGGAUUAGAAACCCCUGUAGUCC
RNAcentral lists this ribosomal RNA (426 nucleotides) under uncultured bacterium. Its description in RNAcentral is "partial 16S ribosomal RNA". It matches the Rfam family "Bacterial small subunit ribosomal RNA", at positions 354 to 796 of the family's 1533-position model. The record is from RNAcentral.